UCGGUUGAUCCUGCCGGACCCGACUGCUAUCAGAGUGAGAUUAAGCCAUGCGAGUCAACGUAGCAAUACGUGGCAUACGGCUCAGUAACACGUAGUCAACAUAACCAAAGGACGUGGAUAAACUCGGGAAACUGAGGCUAAACCGCGAUAGAUCAAGAUACCUGGAAUGGUUUUGAUCAAAAUCUAUAUGGCCUUUGGAUUGGACUGCGUCCGAUCAGGCUGUUGGUGAGGUAAUGGCCCACCAAACCUAUAACCGGUACGGGCUCUGAGAGGAGGAGCCCGGAGAUGGGUACUGAGAUAAGGACCCAGGUCCUAUGGGGCGCAGCAGGCGCGAAACCUCUGCAAUAGGCGAAAGCUUGACAGGGUUACUCUGAGUGACUUUCGUUAAGAAAGUCUUUUGACACCUCUAAAAAUGGUGUAGAAUAAGGGGUGGGCAAGUCUGGUGUCAGCCGCCGCGGUAAUACCAGCACCCCGAGUGGUCGGGACGAUUAUUGGGCCUAAAGCAUCCGUAGCCGGCCUUACAAGUCCUCCGUUAAAUCCAGCUGCUUAACAGAUGGGCUGCGGAGGAUACUAUAAGACUAGGAGGCAGGAGAGGCAAGCGGUACUCAGUGGGUAGGGGUAAAAUCCGUUGAUCCAUUGAAGACCACCAGUGGCGAAGGCGGCUUGCCAGAAUGCGCUCGACGGUGAGGGAUGAAAGCUGGGGGAGCAAACCGGAUUAGAUACCCGGGUAGUCCCAGCUGUAAACGAUGCAGACUCGGUGAUGGACUAGCUAUAUGCUGGUCCAGUGCCGCAGGGAAGCCGUUAAGUCUGCCGCCUGGGUAGUACGGUCGCAAGACUGAAACUUAAAGGAAUUGGCGGGG
This 860-nucleotide ribosomal RNA is filed under the name uncultured archaeon. RNAcentral describes it as "bacterial SSU rRNA". It matches the Rfam family "Archaeal small subunit ribosomal RNA", at positions 4 to 873 of the family's 1478-position model. The record is from RNAcentral.